UUUACCUCUUUCGUCGGAGGCAGUGGGUGGUUUGGCUGCACUGACUCUCCGGUGGGUCGAUGUCAGGAGACGGAUCCCUUUCUAAGCCCGCCCCCUCCUGCCCUUCAGGGAUGAGGCAUCAUCGGCACCCGCAGAGGCUGUCUCGGUCUUGGAAUUUACGUUAUUUAACCAAACACCUAGAGCCUGCUCUCUGUGGAUCACACAUUGUUCCAAGCAUUUUACACACAGGAACUCAUGUAUUCCUCAUGGUUACGCUGUGUUGGCCCCAUUUUACAGAUGAGGAAACCAAGGCACGGAGAGGUGACCUAAGGCUACAGAGUGCGCGCCUCUCCGUGCCAUGCGGCGUUGCCCUUGCCACGACUCUGGUCGCCUCCCUUCCUGUCUGCCCACUGCUCCCACCAGGGCCACAGGCUCCCAGUUAAGGGGCAGUUCACAUAGGCUCCUGAGUCCAGCCUCUCCUCCCCGCACUCCAUCUAAAAGCCACCGCUUAACUAGGGUCACUAAGUAUAAUCUCCUGCUGAGACUUUUCAGUGGGAAUUUUAGGGGUAUGAGAAGAUGCUUAUGACUUAAAAAACAAAUCGCAAAACUGUACAUAAUGGUAGGUAUCUAUUCUUUGUUUCUGUCUGUCUACCCAUCUAUCUAUUACAGCACUUGGCUCCCCCAUCAGAUUUGCAGAUCUAACCCCACAUGUCAUGGAUUUUUCUGGAAAAUAAAUGUGGUUUGCAAGAAUGCAUUUUGCCACCCCUGUGUAUUUUCCUGAGGCAGGAUAAAUUAGUAGUUAGGACCUAGAGCCUUAGAAUCAAAAUGAAAUUACAGUCCUAUUGGUCCUGGGCAGUGGUACCUACCGCAGGAGACUAGUGAGAGAAUUAAAUGAGAUCGGGUCCCCCAAACAGCAGGUAUAGAGCUGGUUCUUGGUAAUGUGCUCUGGGCUCGAGCGAAGACAAUACUUAGGGGCCUGGUCAUAAAACAUUCUGAGGAGGGGCGCCUAGUGGCUCAGUUGAUUAAGCAUCUGAGUUUUGAUCUCGGCUAGGGUCUUGAUCUUCAGGUUGUGAAAUGCAGCCAUACACUGGGCUCUGCGCUCAGUGAGGAGCCCUGCUCCCACAACUUAUCUCUCCAGCCAGUGUGCUAUCAUAAUGAGGAUGUCUAUAAAAUAAUCUCAGACAUCAUCUUUUUUUUUAUUGAGGCACGAUUGACAUCCAUUAUAUUAGUUUCAGGUUGACAAUAUAAUGAGUCGACAUUUAUAUGUAUUACAGAAGGAUCAGCACAGUCAAUCUAGUUACCCAUCACCACACUAGGUACAGAUUUCUCUUCUUGCAAUGACACUUUUCAGAUCUACUCUCUUAGCAGCUCUCACUGUGGUUACAAUAUUAUUCACUGUAGUUGCCGUGUUGUAUGUUACAUCCCCAGGACUGACUUAUUUUAUAACUGGAAAUUUUUAUCCUUUGACUCCCUCCACCCAUUUUGCCCACCCCCAACCCCCAACUCUGGCAGCCACCCAUCCGUUCUCUGUGUCCGUGGGCUCAGUUUGUUUGCUUUGUUUUAGAUUCCUCGUGUAAGGGAGAAUAUAUAGCAUUUGUCCUUCUCUGCUGAUCCGCUUAGUGUAGUGCCCCCAGGGCCCAUUCAGGUUGUCCCAAAUGGCAAGAUUGUGUUCUUUUUUAUGGCUCAGUAGUACUCCAGUGUGAAUAUAUAUCAAGUUUCCUUUAUUGAUUCAUCCAUUGAUGGACACUUUGGUUGUUUCCAAAUCUUGGUUACUGGAAA
Long non-coding RNA from Mustela erminea (ermine), 1758 nucleotides. RefSeq lists it as uncharacterized. The transcript has 2 exons. The record is from RefSeq and is a predicted model, not a curated record. Lineage: Eukaryota; Metazoa; Chordata; Mammalia; Carnivora; Mustelidae.